RNAcentral lists this ribosomal RNA (468 nucleotides) under uncultured bacterium. RNAcentral describes it as "partial 16S ribosomal RNA". It matches the Rfam family "Bacterial small subunit ribosomal RNA", at positions 28 to 507 of the family's 1533-position model. The record is from RNAcentral.
GACGAACGCUGGCGGCGUGCUUAACACAUGCAAGUCGAACGGAAAGGCCCUGCUUUUGUGGGGUGCUCGAGUGGCGAACGGGUGAGUAACACGUGAGUAACCUGCCCUUGACUUUGGGAUAACUUCAGGAAACUGGGGCUAAUACCGGAUAGGAGCUCCUGCUGCAUGGUGGGGGUUGGAAAGUUUCGGCGGUUGGGGCUGUACUCGCGGCUUAUCAGCUUGUUGGUGGGGUAGUGGCUUACCAAGGCUUUGACGGGUAGCCGGGCUGAGAGGGUGACAGGAGCCACUGGGAGUGAGAGACGGGCCAGACACCUACGGGAGGCAGCAGUGGGGAAUAUAGUGGAAUGGGCGCAAGCCUGAGGCAGAAACGCAGCGCGCGGGAUAACGGCCGUCGGGUUGUAAGCCGCUUUCGCCUGUGACGAAGCGAGAGUGACGGUAAUGGGUGAAGAAGCACCGGCUAACUCCGUG